RNAcentral lists this ribosomal RNA (447 nucleotides) under Timarcha tenebricosa. Its description in RNAcentral is "eukaryotic LSU rRNA". The record is from RNAcentral. Lineage: Eukaryota; Metazoa; Arthropoda; Insecta; Coleoptera; Chrysomelidae.
AACCUGAGAAACCCGAAAGGUCGAAAGGGGAAAUUCAUUCGCGUUUCGAUUGUCGGCGAUAAACGAGCGAGUGACGGACGACGUACGUUCGCGCGUACGUUUUCUGCUUCUUUCGUUUAGGUAACGACGCCGAACGCCUGCACUUUUCCCCUAGUAGGACGUCGCGAUCCGUUGGGUGUCGGUCUAAGGCUCGCGGUGGAGCCCGCGCGGUUUAUAGCCGCGCGGACCCGCGAUAUCCCGACCGACCUGCUCGACGGUAUAAAGAUGGCGCGAGGCCGCUACUUCGUAGAAUUAGCGUUCGGCCCGUAGCAAGCGCGUUCGUCGUUAGACGGCGAUCGGACCUAGCGCCGGUCCUGUCCGCGAACGACUGUUGGCUGCGGUGAUCUCGAACAGACCUCGUCGAAACGCCGAUCUGCGACGCUAUAGCUUUGGGUACUUUCAGGACCC